UACGUAGGGUGCAAGCGUUAAUCGGAAUUACUGGGCGUAAAGCGUGCGUAGGCGGUGUGGCAAGUCGGGAGUGAAAUCUCUGGGCUCAACCCAGAGUCUGCUUCCGAAACUGCUGUGCUUGAGUGUGGGAGAGGCGCGUGGAAUUGCAGGUGUAGCGGUGAAAUGCGUAGAUAUCUGCAGGAACACCCGUGGCGAAAGCGGCGCGCUGGACCACUACUGACGCUGAGGAACGAAAGCUAGGGGAGCAAACAGG
RNAcentral lists this ribosomal RNA (253 nucleotides) under uncultured bacterium. Its description in RNAcentral is "partial 16S ribosomal RNA". It matches the Rfam family "Bacterial small subunit ribosomal RNA", at positions 524 to 776 of the family's 1533-position model. The record is from RNAcentral.